RNAcentral lists this unclassified non-coding RNA (1731 nucleotides) under Hevea brasiliensis (rubber tree). Lineage: Eukaryota; Viridiplantae; Streptophyta; Magnoliopsida; Malpighiales; Euphorbiaceae. The record is from RNAcentral.
GGGAAAAAAAAAAACAAGAUAGAGCUCCAUUUUAUGAUGACUAUGACUCGAAAUCUGAAUAAUUUGAGCUGAAAUUGCGAAUAGGGGGCAAGGGUACUUCAACCAAUCCUUCUAACAUUUGCAGAUCCAUCUUCAUUGAAGGUUGCAGAUCCAUCUUCAUUGAAGGCCUUUUCGAGGGAUCCUCUUGAAUACACCAGAUUGCUAUGCUUACCCAUCUGCUCACCCUAUCCUUAUCAGCCGCAGCUUCCUCAUCAAAUUCAACCACAUCAUCUGACCUUCCUUCCACAAAACAAUCAUAAACCCAGUCUGUUAGUAUCUCUUCAUGUUCGAGUUUCGAUACAUUCUUUCUGCAGCAGAUAAUCUCUAACAACAUAACAUCAAAACUGUAAACGUCCACUUUAGCUGUAAUAGCUACAUUUCUGAACCAUUCAGGAGCCACGUAUCCUCUUGUUCCUCUGAUAUUGGUCAAAGUUCGACUCUGACCACACAGUAACAAUUUCACUAAUCCAAAAUCACAAAUUCUUGCAGUGAAGAGUUCAUCUAGGAGUAUAUUUUCAGGCUUUAUAUCGCAAUGAAUGAUCGGAACUUCACAUUCUUCGUGUAAAUACACAAGCCCUCUUGCAAUCUCCAAGGCAAUUUUAGCCCUUAUAUUCCAGCCAGGCUUUGGAAUCCCAAGAAGAAAAUUUGCUAAUGUACCAUUAGUCAUAAACUCGUAAACCAGAAGGCGAUGAGCUCCCUCUUCACAGAAACCCAGCAGCCAGACAAGAUUCUUGUGGCAUGUCUUCCCAAUUGCUUUCAAUUCAUUUCUGAAUUCCUUGUCAGCCUCUUGGGACAACUUAUCCAACUUCUUCACCGCAACUGCAUUAUGUGGAGCAAAUUUUAGGUUGCCUUUGUAGACGAUUGCAGAAGAACCUCUGCCGACUUGUUCUUUGAAGUUAUUGGUUGCAACCUCAAGUUCCCUGUAAGUGAACACAUGCAGAUUUGUUUCCAGAAGAGUUGAAACUUCACUGACUCUGUCCGAUUUCCAUUUUUGUUUGAAGAAGAGAAUUAGAGGAACUAUGAUUAGAAGAAAUGCAUUGAGGGCAAGGGAGCCACUAAGUGAUCCUAAGAGGAUCGAUUUAUCCUUCUUGUCUAUGCUGCUGGCAGGACCAGGGUAAUUCGAAGGAACCGCGCCCUUUCUAACUUUGAUUAGAGCUUUUGUACCUUCUUUUUCGAGUCUUCCAUUACCAAGAGGUAUCCUUUUCUUCCAAAAAAUUGGGUCACCAAGAAGAGACAUUAUGGCAACAUCGCACAUACAAUCUUGCAAACAAGAAGUUCUGCUCUCAUAUUCACUAUAAGGCUUCAGGCUUUCAUAAUCUCCCAGCGGCCAAUUCACACUUCUAAGCUCCCGUAUCUCAUAUAAUUCUUCCAGGUUCUCUGAUGCAUUAUCAACUCCACAACCCAGAGGAAAAUAUGGUUUGCACCCUCCAAAUGGAUUAUUUCUAUCCAUGGGUUAAUAUCCAACUGGGCACGUACAAUUAGGCCUGCCAUUUGACAUGCUGCAGUAGCUAUUAUACCCACAUGCACCACUACCAAAAUCAUGGAAUAUGGCAUGACAAAUGUCUUCAGGGAUGUAUUGCACGAUUGACCAGCUUUGCUCACCGUUGGAGCCCUUGGGAUAGGAAUACUGUGUUAAGACUCCAGUAUAAUCCAUUGUUGCUCGAUAGUAGUUUCCAGCCACACUAGGUGCUG